This 645-nucleotide ribosomal RNA is filed under the name Candeina nitida. RNAcentral's name for it is "SSU rRNA". The stretch from base 1 to 462 matches the Rfam family "Eukaryotic small subunit ribosomal RNA", at positions 1202 to 1501 of the family's 1831-position model. Lineage: Eukaryota; Foraminifera; Rotaliida; Candeinidae. The record is from RNAcentral.
CACGCGGGAAAUCUUACCGGGUCCGGACACACUGAGGAUUGACAGGUAUUAUAUAAUUGCUCUUCGGAGCUUUUAUUGUUAAAUAUGCUAGUCCUUUCAUGAUUAUGUGAUAGGUGGUGCAUGGCCGUUCUUAGUUCGUGGAGUGAUCUGUCUGCUUAAUUGCGUUUCACUAUAAGGAUCUAUAUUCUUUACAGUGUGCAGUGCAUUGACCCCUUCUUCGGAAGCGUGUGUCUUUACGCUCACACUUCAUUAGGUCCUGAAAGCAACGAACGUGACCGCAACCUCUUGUUGCCUCUGUGCUCCUACACGCUCAAUGCGCUAAACACUGGUUUUCUAGCUUAGUGCGUUGGUUGAGGCUUUCUUAAACUAGAGGGACCGCUGUCAACUUCUUAAACCAGAGGAAGGUUGCGGCAAUAACAGGUCUGUGAUGCCCUUAGAUGUUCCGGGCUGCACACGUGCUACAAUGAUUGUUGCAGUGAGCAUCUCAAUUCUUUACCACACCGCACACGUGAGUCUUUAACGUUUUGUUAAUGCACUUUACGCAGCGGUAACGCCUGCUUCGAGAGCAAGUGGGUAAUCAAUUAGAAGUAACGAUUUCCCAAGUUAGCACACUUAUAUACGGCGUUUAUGCCCGGGUUUCACUCC